GCCAGGCCUGGUGGUGCAUACCUGUAGUCCCAGCUACUUGGGAGGCUGAGGUGGGAGGAUCUCUUGAGCCCAGGAGUUUGAGGAUGCAGUGAGCUAUGAUUGUGCCACUGUACUCCAGCCUGGGUGACAGAGUGAGACCCCAUCUCUA
RNAcentral lists this non-coding RNA (148 nucleotides) under Chlorocebus sabaeus (green monkey). The record is from Rfam by way of RNAcentral. Lineage: Eukaryota; Metazoa; Chordata; Mammalia; Primates; Cercopithecidae.